AGGAGGAACAGCCCCAGUGGCGGGGCCAGCUCUGGAGCCCUGGAGUCAGCCCCCGCAGGAACUCCGGAGCUCUCGGUCUGCAGGGCCUGGUGGCUCCGGGGCGGG
Molecule: non-coding RNA, 105 nt
Organism: Canis lupus familiaris (dog)
Lineage: Eukaryota; Metazoa; Chordata; Mammalia; Carnivora; Canidae
Source: Rfam